RNAcentral lists this ribosomal RNA (497 nucleotides) under uncultured bacterium. Its description in RNAcentral is "partial 16S ribosomal RNA". It matches the Rfam family "Bacterial small subunit ribosomal RNA", at positions 28 to 507 of the family's 1533-position model. The record is from RNAcentral.
GAUGAACGCUGGCGGCGUGCCUAAUACAUGCAAGUCGAGCGAACAGACGAGGAGCUUGCUCCUCUGACGUUAGCGGCGGACGGGUGAUUAACACGUGGAUACCCUACCUAUAAGACUGGGAUAACUUCGGUAAACCUGAUCUAAUACCGGAUAAUAUAUUGAACCGCAUGGUUCAAUAGUGAAAGACGGUUUUGCUGUCACUUAUAGAUGGAUCCGCGCCGCAUUAGCUAGUUGGUAAGGUAACGGCUUACCAAGGCGACGAUGCGUAGCCGACCUGAGAGGGUGAUCGGCCACACUGGAACUGAGACACGGUCCAGACUCCUACGGGAGGCAGCAGUAGGGAAUCUUCCGCAAUGGGCGAAAGCCUGACGGAGCAACGCCGCGUGAGUGAUGAAGGUCUUCGGAUCGUAAAACGCUGUUAUUGGGGAAGAAAAAAUGUGGAAGUAACUAUGCACGUCUUGACGGUACCGAAUCAGAAAGCCACGGCUAACUACGUG